AUGUUACUCCAAAAAGAUUGUUUAAAUUUGAAAUUUCUGAAAAUCAAACAAUGGAAUUUAUUUGAUAAUCUGUGCCUGCAGGAAAUGAAAGGAAAUGACUUAAAAACAAUUUUAAAUAUAGGAAGAAAUCACCAAGGGAAGAAGAUGAUGGAAUCUUAUUUACUUACUAAAGCAGAAGAGAAAAACAAAACAAAACAAAACAAAAGAAAACCUCAAUAUCUAAGGGACAGCAGAAGCAGGAAGCGCUUCUGGAGCAGAGCUGUCAUCCUUUCCUGGAAGCUGCUGCUCAGUAGCCUGUCUCCACCGAAACUGCUAAUGGUGACAACACAGGCAGAUUCUGGAAGGGGAACUCAAGGAUUCACAGGUCAGACAUGUCUGUUAACAGCAUGGUAUGUAACUGGACGAGCAGUGGUCGUAGAACAAAUUAUGUCCUCUGUCCAUACAAAAUCUGUAAGUAUAAAAUGCUCACUCUUGUAGUUCUCUGGAUGGUUUUUUCUUGCUAAAAUUUCAUUGUUUGAUUUUAUCAGUAUGCCUGUCUCCCACGCUUGCUUAUUUAUUUGCUUACUAACUACAUACAUUCAUUUACUCACAUAUUAAAAAAAUAUUAAUAUGAAAUGAACUCCUUUAUGUUUGGGACAUUGUGCUAAAUACUUAUAAAGUCCUGGAUAAAAAUGUUUUCGUAUGAAAAGUGGAACUGUGAUAUGGUUAGUCUCAAUACCUAGUUUGAGAAUGACUAGUCCUUUCUGGAUUACAGCUGUAUAUAGGAAAGGGGAAAUGGAUGAUUGUGAAGACAGAUGUACAAAUCUCAUUAGGUUUCGAAGCAGAGACACAAACUGGAUUAAUUCAGUGAGGUGCUACAUAUGUGAUAGUCAUAAUGAUGACAGAGAAAAUGUUACAUGUUGUUGCCUAUAUUCCUCUUAAUAAGACAGAUAUUUUAAUACAUUUCGGAAUUAUUUCAGCACAGUAGUCCUUUAUGUGGAGUUAAUAACAAAUUGCAUUAUUAAUAACAAUUGUUCACAUUGAUAUAUUUAAGUAGUUUGUGAAAUUUUUAAGGUUCUUUUGUAAAUAAAAUUACUUUGUAGGGAUGACUUUAUUUUUAA
This is a long non-coding RNA of Bos indicus x Bos taurus (hybrid cattle), 1100 nucleotides long. NCBI's taxonomy places the organism in Eukaryota, Metazoa, Chordata, Mammalia, Artiodactyla, Bovidae. The record is from Ensembl.